AUCCCAUUCUGACAGAUCUCAGAAGCCUUUUCAGAUUUGAGGAGUUUCUGCUUUGUAUCAAGGAAUAUGGAUGCUGUUUCACAAGAUCAUCCUCUUUCCUUCUGUGGUUUCCUUUGAUUUCCCUGCACACGUUUCACCUUCUGUGGCAAUGAGUUUGUCACGUUACUGGAAAUCCAAAACAAGACUUUCUUGUUGGAGGGAAGAAGCAGAAUUUUUUUAGAGGAAGCCAUUUGAGUUUUGGACAAGAUGCAAGCAUUACAUUUUGGUGGGAUGGAGCUUGUCAACAGAUGGAACACAGCAGCUGAAAGCUCUUCUUCCUUCAAGUUACAGGAUGACUUUCUUACCCUCAAGCUACUGGAGUUCAAAAAGAAAUUUUGCUUGGUACUAAGUAACUAUCACAGAAUUGAUUGUGUUUUCCUGUUUGCAGAGACAGGGUACUUGACUAAGCAGGUUAAUGUUAUGAGGGUAAUUCCCACUUAAAAUACCCAUUUUCUUCACCUGCUCGAUGGUCUUCCUUCUACCCUGGUCUCUGCCUUUCCAGUUCAGUUCUGUCUUGACUGCAAAGAUAGUACCCAUACGGAGCUUUGGUUCUUAUUCAGCCUAAUGGUUGGGUAACUUCCAGUUCUUGAAGCAAGCUGGGAACAAGCUAAUGCUGAAAUUGACAGCUAGUUCAAGUAAGACUUGGCAAAGCUUAUUUCAGAUGUAAUUAACUAUAUUUACUUAUAUUUACUGUAAUUUGUAGUAACACAACUUAGAUUUAAUUUUUGACAGCAGAUUCUUCUGCCAUGUGGUGAUGUUUGCUUCAGUUGAGGUGGUUGUCACUGACAGCUAAUCUUUCUGUGGCAGCGUGUAGUCAAGUGAUUAAUCACCUUAAACAAUAUUCUUAACUAACAGCAUUCUGUCUUACAGUGAGAACAAUCUGGAAACAAUUUGCCUUGUCUGCCUUUUUUUUAACAUGAUCUGCAUGCUACCUAGCUUUUGAAGAACCUGAUUAGAGGGCUUUCCUGUCUGUCAUUUUAAAAUGCUGUUACAUCUUUAAUAACAGUUGCAAAAGUUUGAAUGGCUAUGCAUUGAAGUUGUAUUCUGGUUCUCAUUUGCUGUAUUUAGGAGUUACACUUAGAUGGAUAGAAUGUUUCUUAUUAUCAGUUUGUAAAUUCAGUUAAACAGCAUUAUGAUCUAGGAACUUUUUUUUUUUAAUCACAAAACAUUGGUCCAAUUUUUAUUUAUACAUUGGUCCAAUGAACUCUUCACCUUGGAGAAUGAUUUCUCUUGCUAAUUAAAAUGGCCUUGUUCAGUAUGUUCUGAGACAAAAGAGAAUUAAGUCUGUAUGUUUAUUGUACUAGUGGGUGAUGGACUUUUGAUUAGGGCUUGACAGCAGUUCAUGCUUUAGUUUGACCAUAUAAUACAUAUUUCUUAGACAGGGUCCAAAAACCUUGAGUAAUAUGGAAGAAGCAGCUCUGGAAAGUAACUUCCCUGUAAAUGUUUGCUUUAGGUGGCUUCUGAACUGUUUACAGUUACUCCACAUAAUUUGGAGGGUUUAUGGUCAGUGGCAAUUUUGUAUGGCCUCCAGAAAAAUACAUUCAGAUGGAGAAAUGGGUUACAUAACUAGCUUAACAGAGAAAGAUGCAGUAUUUCUGUGAUUACUGGUGAUUAAAAUGAUUGAUUUUAGUUGUAUUUGACAGUCAUAAGUAGAGGAUGGUAUGUUUUCCAGAAUAGUGAGUCUUGUUGCAACUUUAUUGUCAUUAAAGGCUAUAGUUGCACAGUGACCAGUUUAAUCAUAUUGCAAUCAGUAAGGACUUUUCUGUAAAAUAGCAAGCUUGUUUUAUUUAAGACUAUUAAUUCCUCAUUAGUUGAAGGUUAUAGUUUACAGCACAGGCUUGUUACAUGUGUAUUUAAGUGUAACUAGCUAGUAUUUGGAGGUUGUUUUUUUAUACCUUUAGGAUUAAACUUGUAGUUGCAGUAAACCCUUGGGUCUCUUGUUAUUUGCUGUGAGAAGGAAAGUCAAGGUUAUGUAUGUUUGUAUAUACCCAUGUACUCAUACACCCAUAUAUUUGUACAUGUUCUCUGCAAAGCUGUUUUCCUUGAUGUGUCAGCAGAGACAAAUAGGAAAGCAAGAUAUGGCGUAGAGAUAUUAUGUAUUCAUGUUUGAAAUAUGUCUUUUAAUCCCAGGCAGUGUAUCAGAAAUUUGAAUGAAAUAUAACAUUAUAAACGAUGAUCUGUAGUAUAUAUAAGGAAAGGUAUGUGCCAGAGCCAAAAUGGAAAGCAUUUUUAUGCAAACUUUUAUGAAUGUCAUAAUUCUAAACCUUAAGCUACUAUUAGGCAUACCAGUAACCAUAAAGCCUGUUUACACAAGUUCAGGGGCUUUCCUCUUACGUAAUUAUAAGUUUAUCUAUUUUAAAGAAUCUUAAAAACAGAACUUUGCAUUCAGUUAUCUCUGUUUAUUAGUGUUCAGUGAAAAGUAUUUUUUGCAGCCUGCGAUGCACUGGUAAAGAAUGUGGAAAAAUUAUGCUUAGGUAGAUGUGAACUGAUUAAAUUGCUUUUUACAGUAAAAGUGAUUCUGAAGUUGCUUAUGAAGAAUAGUGUAUGUAACUAACACAGAUGAGUUUUUAAAAAUUGUAUUUAUUUAUUUGGUCCAUAUUUGAGCAAACUAAUGUGUGGUCAUUUUCACAUGCAAAUACUUUGAUUUGGUUGCAUGCACAUAGGACUCACAUUAAUCAUAACAGGAGACACAUGGUAAAUAAAUGUCACAAUUUGGUUUACUUUGCAUAGAGUAACUAUACAGUUAAAUAGAAGUGUACAGCCACCUGCAGGUAUGUAUGCCUGCAAAAGUAAUGAACUUGUAUUUUGGGAAGCUGUUCACAAAACCACUUUAAAAUAUAUUGGUUGAAUUUUGAAAGUGCCACACUGCUGAGGUAAUUUAAAGAAAAGAAAAGAAAAGAAAACAAAAAACACCCAAAAAGCACAAAACUCCCUUUUAAAAAUCCACACAGUAUGUAACAGUAGAACUUCGGUGAUGAAGAAAUUCCAGAACUUUAUUGUCUUAAUACUUGACAGUUUUUUGCAUUCUUGUUUUAAAAUUAGGUGAGAGUCAGGAUGCACCCAAUAACCUUCAAAUUCAUGCAGUUCUGAUGGAAAUGUUUCUAAAAUGAUUGAAUUUUCUAUUAAUAUUACUUAUAAUCAUUCUGCCAUACAGAACAGAAAUUUACACUAUGAAUUAGUAGCUGGCCAUCUUUCUAAAUUCAGAGUUGUAUUCUUUACUGCUUAGCUGAAGAAGAAACGAUGUUACAUCUGUGUUUAGACAAUUUCUACCCCUCCACCCCCGUUUACCUGAAAGAGAAAUAAAAAUAUCAUCUAAACAAGCAGCUGUUUGCAAGUCAGUUAUUAUUUUCUAUUGAACAUGUAAGCUUGAGUAGAAAAUGCAAGUGCACCCUAUAUAUAUACCUCUGUGCACUUUUGGUGGAGGAGACCUCUCCAAGGAAUGAUGAGAUACUUAGUUCUCAGCAGCACUGAUUCUGCAAAUAUGCUAUUUGUCCUGAUAAUAUGCAUAUA
Falco peregrinus (peregrine falcon) is the source of this 3549-nucleotide long non-coding RNA. RefSeq lists it as uncharacterized. The transcript has 4 exons. NCBI's taxonomy places the organism in Eukaryota, Metazoa, Chordata, Aves, Falconiformes, Falconidae. The record is from RefSeq and is a predicted model, not a curated record.